Molecule: long non-coding RNA, 409 nt
Organism: Lontra canadensis (Northern American river otter)
Lineage: Eukaryota; Metazoa; Chordata; Mammalia; Carnivora; Mustelidae
Exons: 3
Source: RefSeq, a predicted model, not a curated record
UCAGCAUGGAAAGACCAUGUCUAUAAUUUCGGGGGUCAAGAUCCACCCGUGACUGACUCCAAGACCUUAGGUCUCUGUGGAAGAGAGACUUGGCUUGGACUUGGCUGAACUGAUUGUUGAGGGUGGGAUGAGGGGAUCUCUGACAACUCAGGUAUAAUGGAAAGAACACAAUUCGGGGAACUGAAUGGCUCUGGAUUCAGAUCUCAGGCUGCCUUGGGAUCUUGGCUCUGGAGGCUGGAAGUCCAAGAUCAUGAUGUCAGCAGUGUUGGUAUCUGGUGAGACCUCUCUAAUUGGCUUGCAGAUGGCUGUCUUCUUACCGCAUCCUCAACACAGUCUUUCUCUGUGUGUGUGCCCUCCUGGUGUCUCUUCCUCUUCUUAUAAUGAUGCUAGAUCUAUUAGAUCAGGACUC